Molecule: ribosomal RNA, 464 nt
Filed under: Vreelandella stevensii
Lineage: Bacteria; Pseudomonadati; Pseudomonadota; Gammaproteobacteria; Oceanospirillales; Halomonadaceae
Description: partial 16S ribosomal RNA
Rfam family: Bacterial small subunit ribosomal RNA
Source: RNAcentral
CCUACGGGAGGCAGCAGUGGGGAAUAUUGGACAAUGGGCGAAAGCCUGAUCCAGCCAUGCCGCGUGUGUGAAGAAGGCCUUCGGGUUGUAAAGCACUUUCAGUGGGGAAGAAAGCCUUGGGGCCAAUACCCUCGAGGAAGGACAUCACCCACAGAAGAAGCACCGGCUAACUCCGUGCCAGCAGCCGCGGUAAUACGGAGGGUGCGAGCGUUAAUCGGAAUUACUGGGCGUAAAGCGCGCGUAGGCGGUCUGAUAAGCCGGUUGUGAAAGCCCCGGGCUCAACCUGGGAACGGCAUCCGGAACUGUCAGGCUAGAGUGCAGGAGAGGAAGGUAGAAUUCCCGGUGUAGCGGUGAAAUGCGUAGAGAUCGGGAGGAAUACCAGUGGCGAAGGCGGCCUUCUGGACUGACACUGACGCUGAGGUGCGAAAGCGUGGGUAGCAAACAGGAUUAGAUACCGUGUAGUC